UAGUGGCGGACGGGUGAGUAACGCGUGGGAAUCUGCCCUCAGGAGGGGGAUAACGGUUGGAAACGACCGCUAAUACCCCAUAUGCCGAGAGGUGAAACGAAAUUCGCCUGAGGAUGAGCCCGCGUCUGAUUAGCUAGUUGGUGGGGUAAAGGCCUACCAAGGCAUCGAUCAGUAGCUGGUCUGAGAGGAUGAUCAGCCACACUGGGACUGAGACACGGCCCAGACUCCUACGGGAGGCAGCAGUGGGGAAUUUUCCGCAAUGGGCGCAAGCCUGACGGAGCAACGCCGCGUGAGGGAUGAAGGCCUCUGGGCUGUAAACCUCUUUUAUCAAGGAAGAAGAUCUGACGGUACUUGAUGAAUAAGCCACGGCUAA
RNAcentral lists this ribosomal RNA (373 nucleotides) under uncultured bacterium. Its description in RNAcentral is "bacterial SSU rRNA". It matches the Rfam family "Bacterial small subunit ribosomal RNA", at positions 93 to 500 of the family's 1533-position model. The record is from RNAcentral.